CCCGCACGUCCCCACAGGCCACGUGUGAGCUGCGGGACCCCCCCAACAGCAGCGUGACGGCCGUGCACCCCGCGGAUCUGCAGCGCGUGGGGAGGAUGGACUGCAGCAGCGCGUGGUGCGGGGAGCUGAGCUGCGCUUUGGGGCGGCUGCAGCGCGGCCACGGCGUCACCGUGCACGUCCUCCGAGCGCUGCACAACGACUUCUUCCGAGCGGCGACGUUCAGCAGCGUGCGGAUCGUCAGCACCGCCACGCUGAGCGCCGCGGGCAGCGCGCUGCUGCUGCUGGAUGAGGGCGCG
This is a non-coding RNA of Phasianus colchicus (ring-necked pheasant), 296 nucleotides long. NCBI's taxonomy places the organism in Eukaryota, Metazoa, Chordata, Aves, Galliformes, Phasianidae. The record is from RefSeq and is a predicted model, not a curated record.